CGGGGUGUGGCGCAGCAAGGAAGCGCGCCUGCUUUGGGAGCAGGAGGUCGCCAGUUCGAACCUGGCCGCCCCGA
RNAcentral lists this transfer RNA (74 nucleotides) under Pseudomonadota bacterium. RNAcentral's name for it is "tRNA-Pro". It matches the Rfam family "tRNA". From Rfam's summary of the family: Transfer RNA (tRNA) molecules are approximately 80 nucleotides in length. Their secondary structure includes four short double-helical elements and three loops (D, anti-codon, and T loops). Further hydrogen bonds mediate the characteristic L-shaped molecular structure. tRNAs have two regions of fundamental functional importance: the anti-codon, which is responsible for specific mRNA codon recognition, and the 3' end, to which the tRNAs corresponding amino acid is attached (by aminoacyl-tRNA synthetases). tRNAs cope with the degeneracy of the genetic code in two manners: having more than one tRNA (with a specific anti-codon) for a particular amino acid; and 'wobble' base-pairing, i.e. permitting non-standard base-pairing at the 3rd anti-codon position. The record is from RNAcentral. Lineage: Bacteria; Pseudomonadati; Pseudomonadota. RNAcentral also lists the same sequence under 1 other name.